This is a long non-coding RNA of Lycium ferocissimum, 1588 nucleotides long. RefSeq lists it as uncharacterized. Lineage: Eukaryota; Viridiplantae; Streptophyta; Magnoliopsida; Solanales; Solanaceae. The record is from RefSeq and is a predicted model, not a curated record. The transcript has 5 exons.
UAAUGACCAUUUCAGAUAUGAGUGUGGACUAGGAUGAGACCUUUUCAGCCCAUAGCUGCUCACCCUCCGCUUGACUACUUUGUUGAUAUGGUGCCAUACUCAUGGAGAUGGAUGGGAGGUGUAAUCCGAGAUAUGGAUACGCACCACAAAGUUCUCCCGUUCAGGGAUCAGCUAGAUUGUAUGAAGGCGGACACGAUUUUGGAUCAGCUGCUGACGUUUUGUAGGACUGGUUAGUGGUGGGCAUGGUACGAAUAUACCUAAGACGGUUACUUGGGAGCACGACCAUUACUCGUGGGGCGAGCGUGCGACCGUCACUAAUGCAUGGCGGGCCUUUAUGAAACUCCGGGUCCGGCGUUGGGAUCAGAGGAUGGGGACGCUAGUGGUGGUCGGACAUGCGACUCCGGUUCAGAGGUACAUGGAGUGGCGCGGAUCACUCGCAGCUUGAUUGACUACCCUGCGAGGCCUCAUGCAGAUGGCCGAGGAUAUGUAGCACCCGCAGGAUAGUAUGAGGCGUUGCUACGGACUAUACAGAGGAUGCGCUGGGAGAGCUUGGACCAUAUGGAGGCCCCCGAGAUAGCGGGAUAUGCAGCAAGGAUGGUUCAGCUAGCCGAGGGUGGUAUGCUAUAGGCAUAGGAGCUCGGACGUCUCGAGGAGCGUGUUCUAGAGGUCUGCAUCAAGCAGCAUAUGGUCGUGGUCGUGGUCAUGCCGGAAGUGGUGGUGGCAGAAGAGGGGGUGACAGAAGGGGUGGGCUAAAGGGGCUGGUGGCCGAGAAGAUAGGAGCAAACGAGUUAGUGGCCGAGGUGGUAGGGACAGAGGGGCUGGUUGUCUAGUAGAUGAUCCUAACGAGCAUGCUCUAGUUCUAGCUCCAGUCCAGCAGCCUCCGUCGACUUUAGAGAUCCCAUCGACUUCUUACCGACCCUCGACUUCAAAGCAUCCGUCGACUUCAAGGCGAUCGUCGACACCUCUAUAUACAUUGGAUUUAUUUUUAGAUCACAUGUUCUGGUCAUUGUCUGCACAGCCACCAGUUCGUCAUCCACAGGGUGAGCAGCCAGUUUGUAAUCAAUAGGGUGGCAUGGAGUUGGACUUCGAGUCCUUAUUCGAGGACUUUAACAUGUUUUCGAGUCGAGAUGAAAGUGUUUAAAAUAAUUAUUUUAAUUAAUUAAAAUAUUUAUACUAAUUAUUAUAUAAUUUUCCAUUUCUUAGGUUCUAGCUCCAGCUAAAGCACCAUCUACAUCUCCGGCUCCGGGGCCUACUCACGAGACCGCUGAGGAGCCAGCUCAAGAGCCUUCUCACCAGCCAUCUCAGGAGCCCAUCGACACACAGGUUCAUUCUUCUGCGCCUGUGGACCCGCCUCCUGCUGAGAUUGAGUCAUCUCCUAAAGCUGAUGACAUUUCGGCCACCGUCGUCUCCCAUAGGAAGCAUAUUUUGAACAAGGCCCUAAGGAAGAGAAGGCAGGAUGAUCAUGCCAUAGAGCAUGUACGGAUUAAGAGGAAGAAGGGGGAUGGAGAUGAUGAUGAGGGUGGUGGGGUUCGCCUUAGGCCUAAGGUUAUUCUAAAGGCUCCCACAUGUGGGACCUAGGGGGAUGGAG